GUAGGUGGCAAGCGUUGUCCGGAAUUAUUGGGCGUAAAGCGCGCGCAGGCGGUUCUUUAAGUCUGAUGUGAAAGCCCACGGCUCAACCGUGGAGGGUCAUUGGAAACUGGAGAACUUGAGUACAGAAGAGGAAAGCGGAAUUCCACGUGUAGCGGUGAAAUGCGUAGAGAUGUGGAGGAACACCAGUGGCGAAGGCGGCUUUCUGGUCUGUAACUGACGCUGAGGCGCGAAAGCGUGGGGAGCAAACAGGGAUUAGAUACCCUGGUAGUCCACGCCGUAAACGAUGAGUGCUAAGUGUUAGGGGGUUUCCGUCCCCCUUAGUGCUGCAGCUAACGCAUUAAGCACUCCGCCUGGGGAGUACGGCCGAAAGGCUG
This 374-nucleotide ribosomal RNA is filed under the name uncultured organism. RNAcentral describes it as "partial 16S ribosomal RNA". It matches the Rfam family "Bacterial small subunit ribosomal RNA", at positions 527 to 896 of the family's 1533-position model. The record is from RNAcentral.